GGCGGUUAUGGUGAAGUUGGUUAACACGCCUGAUUGUGGCUCAGGUAUUUUCGCGGGUUCGAGUCCCGUUAAUCGCCCCAU
Molecule: transfer RNA, 81 nt
Filed under: Ureaplasma parvum serovar 3 str. ATCC 27815
Lineage: Bacteria; Bacillati; Mycoplasmatota; Mycoplasmoidales; Mycoplasmoidaceae
Also listed under: 12 other names
Description: tRNA-His
Rfam family: tRNA
About the family: Transfer RNA (tRNA) molecules are approximately 80 nucleotides in length.
Source: RNAcentral